CCCUACAAUCUUUUUUUUUUUUUUUUUUUUUUUAAUGUAUUUUCUAAGAGGUACAACAAGGGCUAAAUAGCACCACAAUCAUGAAACCAGACUUAAACUUUAACAAGCUCAGGUACAAACACACUUAAACACCAGAGGUCAGAGUUACUGUUUCUGAUCAAUCUGAUCAAAAUUUUGCUGAGGUGAAAGGAAAUACAGUGUGAACAGAAUCAGGCGAGUCCACUUCACUCAGGCUGCAACAAAUCUCUCAAAAUGAAGUAUGAAGGUGUUGAAGUUCACAGCUGACAUAAUGACAUGGUGUCUGUAGCACACAGCUUGUUUUGAUAUAAGCAGUCUACCCUAUAUUUAGCUCGUCAUGCUACAUAUGUGAUUAGCAAAGCUACAUAUGUCAUUAGCUAAGGACGCUAGGCCUUCGACCUACGCCAUAGUUUACACCAGUCAUUAGCUGAGCGUUAGGUCUUCAUUUUCACCAUCGCUGUGAAUUGGUUUAGUGUGUUAGCCCUUCAUCUAACAUCAGUGAUUAGCUUAGAUAGUGGUAGCUUCUAAUUCUAUGUGUGUUAGUGUUUUAUUCUACAUUAGCGAUUACCUCAGAGUGUUAGUGUUUUAUUCUACAUUAGAGAUUACCUCAGUGUUAGUGUUUUAUUCUACAUUUGCGAUUACCUCAUUAGUGAUUACCUCAGUGUUAGUGUUUUAUUCUACAUUAGAGACUACCUCAGAGUGUUAGUGUUAUAUUCUACAUUAGAGAUUACCUCAGUGUUAGUGUUUUAUUCUACAUUAGAGAUUACCUGAGUGUUAGUGUUUUAUUCUACAUUAGAGAAUUACUCAGAGUG
Ictalurus punctatus (channel catfish) is the source of this 830-nucleotide long non-coding RNA. The record is from Ensembl. Lineage: Eukaryota; Metazoa; Chordata; Actinopteri; Siluriformes; Ictaluridae.